This 695-nucleotide ribosomal RNA is filed under the name uncultured bacterium. RNAcentral describes it as "bacterial SSU rRNA". It matches the Rfam family "Bacterial small subunit ribosomal RNA", at positions 8 to 735 of the family's 1533-position model. The record is from RNAcentral.
AGAGUUUGAUCCUGACUCAGAAUCAACGCUGGCGGCGUGCCUAACACAUGCAAGUCGCACGAGAAAGGGGAGCAAUCCCUGAGUAUAGUGGCGCACGGGUGAGUAACACGUGACUAACCUACCCUCGAGUGGGGAAUAACCUAGGGAAACCUGGGCUAAUACCGCAUAACACUUACGAGUCAAAGCAGCAAUGCGCUUGGGGAGGGGGUCGCGGCCGAUUAGCUAGUUGGCGGGGUAAUGGCCCACCAAGGCAAUGAUCGGUAUCCGGCCUGAGAGGGCGCACGGACACACUGGAACUGAAACACGGUCCAGACUCCUACGGGAGGCAGCAGUGGGGAAUUUUGCGCAAUGGGGGAAACCCUGACGCAGCAACGCCGCGUGGAGGAUGAAGUCUCUUGGGACGUAAACUCCUUUCGAUCGGGAAGAUAAUGACGGUACCGAUAGAAGAAGCCCCGGCUAACUUCGUGCCAGCAGCCGCGGUAAUACGAGGGGGGCAAGCGUUGUUCGGAAUUAUUGGGCGUAAAGGGUGCGUAGGCGGUCUGGUAAGUCUUGUGUGAAAUCUUCAGGCUCAACCUGAAGUCUGCAUGAGAAACUGCCGGGCUUGAGUAUGGGAGAGGUGAGUGGAAUUUCCGGUGUAGCGGUGAAAUGCGUAGAUAUCGGAAGGAACACCUGUGGCGAAAGCGGCUCACUGGACC